AAUAUUUCAGCAAAGUGCUCACACAACACAGUAGACAAGCGGUUACAGCAGAUAAGCUUUUAGCUCUUUGAAGUGAUGAUUUUCAUGUGAAAAAUAAUGGAGUCUUGUCUUUCUCUUCAACCUUCUCCUUUGUUCAUCAUCCCUUCUAAUCCAAACCCUAAAUUUAAACUAAAACGCCAUCUUUUUUCUUAUUCUUUCAAGCAUCAAAGAUGUAUAUGUUCUUCUUCUUCUUCAAAAGAUUCUUCCAAUUCUAUACCUGUAGGGGACAAUUCUUCUGGCAACUUUUGCAUCAUAGAGGGACCCGAAACAGUUCAGAACUUUGUUCAAAUGCAGGCACAGGAGAUCCAAGAUAAUAUAAGGAGUAGGCGUAAUAAGAUAUUUCUUCUUAUGGAAGAGGUAAGGAGACUACGGAUACAACAACGUCUCAAGGGAAUGAAAGCUGCACAUGAUGCAUCAUCCGACGAGGCAAAUGAAAUGCCUGAAAUUCCUUCAUCAAUUCCCUUCCUUCCUCAUGUGACUCCAAUGUCAUUGAAGAAGCUAUACUUGACUAGCUUUUCGUUUAUCACGGGGAUCAUUGUCUUUGGAGGCCUCAUUGCUCCAACUCUGGAAUUGAAAUUAGGCAUAGGUGGAACAUCUUAUAAGGAUUUUAUUCUCAGCUUGCAUUUGCCUCUACAACUGAGUCAAGUUGAUCCCAUAGUGGCGUCUUUCUCCGGUGGAGCUGUGGGUGUUAUUUCAGCUUUGAUGCUCAUUGAAGUUAACAAUGUCGAACAACAAGAGAAGAAACGAUGCAAAUAUUGCCAUGGAUCCGGCUAUUUGGCUUGUGCUCGGUGUUCUUCAAGUGGUGUGUGCCUGAGGACGGAACCGAUUUCAAUAUCCGGUGAUUUUGAUCGUCCCUUGCGAGUGCCAACUACACAAAGGUGUUCAAAUUGUUCAGGAGUCGGAAAAGUAUGCACUUCUCUCGAUUGAAAAUGCUUUUAUUGAAAUAUUACAUCUACGAUUUGCCAGCUAUCAGUCCGAAGUCCAAACCCAUUUAUUUCGGGUUAGGUUCUGGUCAGAUUUGCAACACAGGUAAUGUGUCCUACAUGCCUUUGCACCGGGAUGAUAAUGGCUAGCGAACAUGAUCUGCGAAUAGAUCCAUUCGAUUAAGAUGGUUAUCGAUAUAACAACGUAGCAGGUGCUUCCGGGUUAAUCGAUUCUAUUUUUUUGGAAACCUCAAAGAAAGUGUUCUUGUUGGUCUUGUAUGAAAUGUUUUUGUAUUUAUGUAAUUAAUCCUUGUUUUUGAUUUAUAAAAGUACCAUGUGUAAAAAUUUCAAUAUAGUGUCUUUUCUUCGUUUCAAAUUAGUUGCGACAUAAGA
Molecule: RNA transcript, 1355 nt
Organism: Amaranthus tricolor (Joseph's coat)
Lineage: Eukaryota; Viridiplantae; Streptophyta; Magnoliopsida; Caryophyllales; Amaranthaceae
Gene name: protein ORANGE-LIKE, chloroplastic
Exons: 8
Source: RefSeq, a predicted model, not a curated record